UACGUAGGGGGCAAGCGUUGUCCGGAUUCAUUGGGCGUAAAGAGCUCGUAGGCGGCUUGGCAAGUCGGGUGUGAAACCUCCAGGCUCAACCUGGAGACGCCACCCGAUACUGCCAUGGCUAGAGUCCGGUAGGGGACCACGGAAUUCCUGGUGUAGCGGCGAAAUGCGCAGAUAUCAGGAGGAACACCGGUGGCGAAGGCGGUGGUCUGGGCCGGCACUGACGCUGAGGAGCGAAAGCGUGGGGAGCGAACAGG
This 254-nucleotide ribosomal RNA is filed under the name uncultured bacterium. RNAcentral's name for it is "partial 16S ribosomal RNA". It matches the Rfam family "Bacterial small subunit ribosomal RNA", at positions 524 to 776 of the family's 1533-position model. The record is from RNAcentral.